UACUAUCCAUAGUCCUGGGUCGCUGAU
This 27-nucleotide non-coding RNA is filed under the name Mus musculus (house mouse). The record is from RNAcentral. Lineage: Eukaryota; Metazoa; Chordata; Mammalia; Rodentia; Muridae.